UGGGGAAUUUUGGACAAUGGGCGAAAGCCUGAUCCAGCAAUGCCGCGUGUGUGAAGAAGGCCUUCGGGUUGUAAAGCACUUUUGUCCGGAAAGAAAUCCUUGGCUCUAAUACAGCCGGGGGAUGACGGUACCGGAAGAAUAAGCACCGGCUAACUACGUGCCAGCAGCCGCGGUAAUACGUAGGGUGCAAGCGUUAAUCGGAAUUACUGGGCGUAAAGCGUGCGCAGGCGGUUUGCUAAGACCGAUGUGAAAUCCCGGGCUCAACCUGGGAACUGCAUUGGUGACUGGCAGGCUAGAGUAUGGCAGAGGGGGGUAGAAUUCCACGUGUAGCAGUGAAAUGCGUAGAGAUGUGGAGGAAUACCGAUGGCGAAGGCAGCCCCCUGGGCCAAAUACUGACGCUCAUGCACGAAAGCGUGGGGAGCAAACAGGAUUAGAUACCCUGGUAGUCCACGCCCUAAACGAUGUCAACUAGUUGUUGGGGAUUCAUUCCUUAGUAACGUAGCUAACGCGUGAAGUUGACCGCCUGGGGAGUACGGUCGCAAGAUUAAAACUUAAA
RNAcentral lists this ribosomal RNA (556 nucleotides) under uncultured bacterium. RNAcentral's name for it is "partial 16S ribosomal RNA". It matches the Rfam family "Bacterial small subunit ribosomal RNA", at positions 355 to 905 of the family's 1533-position model. The record is from RNAcentral.